Molecule: ribosomal RNA, 1557 nt
Filed under: Staphylococcus aureus
Lineage: Bacteria; Bacillati; Bacillota; Bacilli; Caryophanales; Staphylococcaceae
Description: 16S ribosomal RNA
Rfam family: Bacterial small subunit ribosomal RNA
Source: RNAcentral
UUUUAUGGAGAGUUUGAUCCUGGCUCAGGAUGAACGCUGGCGGCGUGCCUAAUACAUGCAAGUCGAGCGAACGGACGAGAAGCUUGCUUCUCUGAUGUUAGCGGCGGACGGGUGAGUAACACGUGGAUAACCUACCUAUAAGACUGGGAUAACUUCGGGAAACCGGAGCUAAUACCGGAUAAUAUUUUGAACCGCAUGGUUCAAAAGUGAAAGACGGUCUUGCUGUCACUUAUAGAUGGAUCCGCGCUGCAUUAGCUAGUUGGUAAGGUAACGGCUUACCAAGGCAACGAUGCAUAGCCGACCUGAGAGGGUGAUCGGCCACACUGGAACUGAGACACGGUCCAGACUCCUACGGGAGGCAGCAGUAGGGAAUCUUCCGCAAUGGGCGAAAGCCUGACGGAGCAACGCCGCGUGAGUGAUGAAGGUCUUCGGAUCGUAAAACUCUGUUAUUAGGGAAGAACAUAUGUGUAAGUAACUGUGCACAUCUUGACGGUACCUAAUCAGAAAGCCACGGCUAACUACGUGCCAGCAGCCGCGGUAAUACGUAGGUGGCAAGCGUUAUCCGGAAUUAUUGGGCGUAAAGCGCGCGUAGGCGGUUUUUUAAGKCUGAUGUGAAAGCCCACGGCUCAACCGUGGAGGGUCAUUGGAAACUGGAAAACUUGAGUGCAGAAGAGGAAAGUGGAAUUCCAUGUGUAGCGGUGAAAUGCGCAGAGAUAUGGAGGAACACCAGUGGCGAAGGCGACUUUCUGGUCUGUAACUGACGCUGAUGUGCGAAAGCGUGGGGAUCAAACAGGAUUAGAUACCCUGGUAGUCCACGCCGUAAACGAUGAGUGCUAAGUGUUAGGGGGUUUCCGCCCCUUAGUGCUGCAGCUAACGCAUUAAGCACUCCGCCUGGGGAGUACGACCGCAAGGUUGAAACUCAAAGGAAUUGACGGGGACCCGCACAAGCGGUGGAGCAUGUGGUUUAAUUCGAAGCAACGCGAAGAACCUUACCAAAUCUUGACAUCCUUUGACAACUCUAGAGAUAGAGCCUUCCCCUUCGGGGGACAAAGUGACAGGUGGUGCAUGGUUGUCGUCAGCUCGUGUCGUGAGAUGUUGGGUUAAGUCCCGCAACGAGCGCAACCCUUAAGCUUAGUUGCCAUCAUUAAGUUGGGCACUCUAAGUUGACUGCCGGUGACAAACCGGAGGAAGGUGGGGAUGACGUCAAAUCAUCAUGCCCCUUAUGAUUUGGGCUACACACGUGCUACAAUGGACAAUACAAAGGGCAGCGAAACCGCGAGGUCAAGCAAAUCCCAUAAAGUUGUUCUCAGUUCGGAUUGUAGUCUGCAACUCGACUACAUGAAGCUGGAAUCGCUAGUAAUCGUAGAUCAGCAUGCUACGGUGAAUACGUUCCCGGGUCUUGUACACACCGCCCGUCACACCACGAGAGUUUGUAACACCCGAAGCCGGUGGAGUAACCUUUUAGGAGCUAGCCGUCGAAGGUGGGACAAAUGAUUGGGGUGAAGUCGUAACAAGGUAGCCGUAUCGGAAGGUGCGGCUGGAUCACCUCCUUUCUAA